Molecule: ribosomal RNA, 548 nt
Filed under: Pluvianus aegyptius (crocodile bird)
Lineage: Eukaryota; Metazoa; Chordata; Aves; Charadriiformes; Glareolidae
Description: partial 12S ribosomal RNA
Rfam family: Bacterial small subunit ribosomal RNA
Source: RNAcentral
UAAGAUCAAAAUGUAACUAAGCUGUCAUAAGCAAAAGAUACACUUAAGACCAACCUUAAAACGAUCUUAGAGUAUCGAUUAAUUAAACCCCACGAAAGCUAAGGCCCAAACUGGGAUUAGAUACCCCACUAUGCCUAGCCCUAAAUCUUGAUGCUUACUCCACUCAAGCAUCCGCCCGAGAACUACGAGCACAAACGCUUAAAACUCUAAGGACUUGGCGGUGCCCCAAACCCACCUAGAGGAGCCUGUUCUAUAAUCGAUAACCCACGAUACACCCAACCACUCCUAGCCAAAGCAGCCUACAUACCGCCGUCGCCAGCCCACCUCCAAUGAGAGCACAAUAGUGAGCGUAAUAACCACAUAAUCGUUAACAAGACAGGUCAAGGUAUAGCCCAUGGAGUGGAAGAAAUGGGCUACAUUUUCUAAGAUAGAAAACCACGAAAGAGGGUAUGAAACAACCCCCAGAAGGUGGAUUUAGCAGUAAAGUGGGACAAUAAAGCCCUCUUUAAGUUGGCCCUGAGGCACGUACAUACCGCCCGUCACCCUCC